ACUGGCAAUCUGGUCGGUCGGACC
This 24-nucleotide microRNA is filed under the name Amborella trichopoda. RNAcentral describes it as "atr-miR8569". The record is from miRBase by way of RNAcentral. Lineage: Eukaryota; Viridiplantae; Streptophyta; Magnoliopsida; Amborellales; Amborellaceae.